CUCAAGACUGUCAUUAUUGUCUGCAAAAACCAUCUUGGAUACGAACUGUUAAAAAGUUUUGAUUAAUUGUGAAAAGAAAAAACAUAGAUUAAGUUUAUGUUAAACAUAUGACUGGGAAAUCAUUUUAGGUUUUUACGUGCCUAAGCAUGUCGGAUAAUAUUUACAUGCCCUGCUUGAAAAUUAGGAACCAAGCUCUAUUUGCUACUGGAGUGGAUAGGAAAAUAUUAGAGCAAGGAUAAGGAGGAAAAG
This is a non-coding RNA of Pelobates cultripes (western spadefoot toad), 249 nucleotides long. The record is from the annotation of a GenBank genome assembly. NCBI's taxonomy places the organism in Eukaryota, Metazoa, Chordata, Amphibia, Anura, Pelobatidae.